Molecule: ribosomal RNA, 449 nt
Filed under: uncultured bacterium
Lineage: Bacteria
Description: partial 16S ribosomal RNA
Rfam family: Bacterial small subunit ribosomal RNA
Source: RNAcentral
AUUGAACGCUGGCGGCAUGCCUAACACAUGCAAGUCGAACGAGCCCUUCGGGGUUAGUGGCGCACGGGUGCGUAACGCGUGGGAAUCUGCCCUUGGGUUCGGAAUAACAGUGAGAAAUUACUGCUAAUACCGGAUGAUGUCUUCGGACCAAAGAUUUAUUGCCCAGGGAUGAGCCUGCGUAGGAUUAGCUAGUUGGUGGGGUAAUGGCCUACCAAGGCGACGAUCCUUAGCUGGUCUGAGAGGAUGAUCAGCCACACUGGGACUGAGACACGGCCCAGACUCCUACGGGAGGCAGCAGUGGGGAAUAUUGGACAAUGGGCGCAAGCCUGAUCCAGCAAUGCCGCGUGAGUGAUGAAGGCCUUAGGGUUGUAAAGCUCUUUUACCCGGGAUGAUAAUGACAGUACCGGGAGAAUAAGCUCCGGCUAACUCCGUGCCAGCCGCCGCAGUAA